GGGCACGUGGUCCAAUGGCUAGAGCACUCUCACAAUGUGAUGACGACCUCAGCUGACGACGGAUCAGGAGAGAGAGGCCCAGGUCCGAUUCCUGGCGUGUCCC
Non-coding RNA from Paraphaeosphaeria sporulosa, 103 nucleotides. The record is from the annotation of a RefSeq genome assembly. NCBI's taxonomy places the organism in Eukaryota, Fungi, Ascomycota, Dothideomycetes, Pleosporales, Didymosphaeriaceae.